Molecule: ribosomal RNA, 202 nt
Filed under: uncultured bacterium
Lineage: Bacteria
Description: partial 16S ribosomal RNA
Rfam family: Bacterial small subunit ribosomal RNA
Source: RNAcentral
UAGUCUGCAACUCGACUACAUGAAGCUGGAAUCGCUAGUAAUCGCGAAUCAGAAUGUCGCGGUGAAUACGUUCCCGGGUCUUGUACACACCGCCCGUCACACCAUGGGAGUCGGAAAUGCCCGAAGCCGGUGACCCAACCCGAAAGGGAGGGAGCCGUCGAAGGCAGGUCGGAUGACUGGGGUGAAGUCGUAACAAGGUAAC